ACGUACGCUGGCGGCACGCCUAACACAUGCAAGUCGAACGAAGUAGCAAUACUUAGUGGCAGACGGGUGAGUAACAUGUAGGUAUCUGCCCUUUGGCCUGGAAUAACACGAGGAAACUUGUGCUAAUACCGCAUAUUUCCUACGGGAGAAAGACUUCGGUCGCUAUUGGAUGAGCCUAUGUCAGAUUAGCUUGUUGGUAGGGUAAUGGCCUACCAAGGCUACGAUCUGUAGCUGGUCUGAGAGGAUGAUCAGCCACACUGGGACUGAGACACGGCCCAGACUCCUACGGGAGGCAGCAGUGGGGAAUCUUUGC
RNAcentral lists this ribosomal RNA (313 nucleotides) under uncultured Pelagibacterales bacterium. Its description in RNAcentral is "SSU rRNA". It matches the Rfam family "Bacterial small subunit ribosomal RNA", at positions 29 to 368 of the family's 1533-position model. The record is from RNAcentral. Lineage: Bacteria; Pseudomonadati; Pseudomonadota; Alphaproteobacteria; Candidatus Pelagibacterales.